This is a long non-coding RNA of Oncorhynchus masou masou (cherry salmon), 344 nucleotides long. RefSeq lists it as uncharacterized. NCBI's taxonomy places the organism in Eukaryota, Metazoa, Chordata, Actinopteri, Salmoniformes, Salmonidae. The transcript is spliced from 3 exons. The record is from RefSeq and is a predicted model, not a curated record.
CAUGUUUGACAUUGUGUGUGUUGUAGAACCCAGGGAAGCAGGCUCAGGAGACCCAGGGCAGCACAGCAGAGCUGAUCGCAGGCCUGGUGCAGCUGGUGCCCUUGGACAAUACAGCCCAGCUCUCCCAGGAGGCCAUGGAGGCUCUGCUGGUGCUGCACCUGCCUGAGACCAUUGAGCUGUGGAACCCUCAGGCCCCCAUUGAAACCUUCUGGGACAUCAGCUCCCUGGUUCUCUUCCUGAUCUGCAAGAAGCUGAUUGGUCACCAGAUGGUGAACAGUACAGAGGUGUUGAAGUGGCUGAGGGAGAUCCUUAUCUGCAGGAACAAGUUCCUCCUAAAGAACAAG